CAGCAGCCGCGGUAAUACGUAGGUGGCAAGCGCUAUCCGGAAUUAUUGGGCGUAAAGCGCGCGUAGGCGGUUUUUUAAGUCUGAUGUGAAAGCCCACGGCUCAACCGUGGAGGGUCAUUGGAAACUGGAAAACUUGAGUGCAGAAGAGGAAAGUGGAAUUCCAUGUGUAGCGGUGAAAUGCGCAGAGAUAUGGAGGAACACCAGUGGCGAAGGCGACUUUCUGGUCUGUAACUGACGCUGAUGUGCGAAAGCGUGGGGAUCAAACAGGAUUAGAGACCCCAGUAGUCCCUGUCUCUUAUAC
Molecule: ribosomal RNA, 301 nt
Filed under: uncultured bacterium
Lineage: Bacteria
Description: partial 16S ribosomal RNA
Rfam family: Bacterial small subunit ribosomal RNA
Source: RNAcentral